This 13200-nucleotide long non-coding RNA is filed under the name Malus domestica (apple). RNAcentral's name for it is "long non-coding RNA (MDOM_LNC001134)". The record is from RNAcentral. Lineage: Eukaryota; Viridiplantae; Streptophyta; Magnoliopsida; Rosales; Rosaceae.
UGAGCCACCAUCGGACGCAGGGUAAGUUUUUUUUUGUUUUUUUUUUCUCUCUUUAAGGUGCUCAUUGAUUCAUUCCUUGUUCUAGUUUUCUGUCCAAAAUCCCAAUAGAAACACAACACACCCUGAGUAGUAUGAUACGGGCCCGGCCUUGAGAAUUUGAGGGCUUAGGCAAGCAUUUGAAGUGGAGGCCCAGAAUUCUCUAAUUUUUUUCAAUAUAAAAUGAGUAUAAAAGAUAAAAACAUUUAAUUAGAUAACUAGACUCACUAAAAAAAAUAAAAAACACAGCUUAUGUUUUUAGACCUAGAUCUAAAAGAAUAUUAUGUCUUCAUUCUUCCACAAGGCCGGGUUGGUAUUUUACUUCUUUUGAUCAAAGGUGACUUUCAUUACAAACAACAAACUUUAUAACACAGGCCCAAAAACAGAACAAAAAAAAACCACACAAACAAACGGCAGUGGGUCAACCAAACAAACCAAAAGAAGCCCAACCAAAAGUUGAGUCCCAAACAAAAAGAACGCCAAAAACAAGUGAUACAUCCAAUAUUACUGACUUUAGUGAACGUUACUCCAUGAAAACUAGGUUCAGAUGCCAUUGAAGCCAGCAAAUGAUAACACCCAAUAAGAGUCCUCCUCCUCCUCUUCUUUUCUUCUUUACUGUAUCAAUAAAAUAAUAAUCGAUAUCAUUAAAAAAAAAACUAUUUUUAAUCUCUAUUUAUUGUAUCAAUAAAAUAAUAAUAGAUAUCAUAAAAAAAACCUAUGCAAUCGGUGUUAAUCUGCAUAGACAUAUACGAGAUAUUACCUCAGUAUUUCAGUCAAGAAGAAAAUCCAUGCUACUAGUCGUGUUAACUAGAAACUCGUACAAAAUCGAUCAGUCGAGUUGGAAACAUUUUGGUCAGCUCGUUCUCGAUUUCCUCUUCAGGCUGCAUAUGAAUCAAAUAAUAUGAUAAUAUAAAUAGGAAACUUUAUUCUAAUCCUUAGCAAAGAAAACUUUUAGACUAAAACUAUAAAAUCAAAAUUUAAUUUUAAUACCUUGACACAUUAAUCACCUCAUUUAUUAAUUAUAUUCUAUUGUUUUAAUUAUUUCUCUUUUGCCACUCUAUACUAUAGUUUGGUGAUAUUCCUCUUCACUUGGAAGUGAAAGGUCUUAGGUUCGAAUCUCGUGAAUGACGAAUUCGAUACUAAAUUAGGUUGUCCAUUGUGUGGCUUAGCCGAACUCUUCCUCCCCUUAGUGCAAAAAUAUCGAUGUACUCAAAAAAUUGUUUCUCUUUUUUCUUCCUAAUUUUAAUGUAUUAAUUAUAUUUAAUUAUAAUUAUUAUUUUCAUUUCAUUCAUCAUAAUAUAUUUUGUUGUAAACAUUUAGGUAAACUAAUUUUUGUUAUACAAUAUAUUUCAAUAUACUUUGUCUUCUUUAUUUAGGUACAUUAAUUCAUUUAAUAUAUUUUAGUACAUCAAUUUUGGUACAACACAUUUAGGUACAUUAAUUCAAUAUAAUACAUUUCGGUGCAUAUAUUUCGGUACAUACAUUUUAGUAUAUACAUUUCGGUACAAUUAGGUACAUUAAUUCAAGAUGAUACAUUUCGGUAUUAACAUUUAGGUACAUUAAUUGAGUUUUUCAAGUUUGAAGAAUGUUAAAUAAAAUUAAUAAAUUAAAAAAAAACUUUUUUGAUAAAAAAAAAAAUAAAUGUGUAUAUUAACAAAUUCAAAUAUUCUAAUGGAAGACAUUGGAUAAAAUACACAUUAAAUAAUUUGAAUUAAGAACACAUCAAAGGACUAUAAUCAAUAAGUAAUUUAACACCAGGUUUUUAUUUAAUUUCAAUAUUUUUCAAGGAUUAAAGCUAAAAACCCCUAAUAUAAAAACAAAAAAAUUAUAACAUAUGAUUUAGAUCACUUAAUUUCUACUUUUCUAGUAUUAGUAGUAUUAAUCAGUAAUACACCUUGACAAGCAGAACAGAAGCAUACCAUGCGUGUUUUCGAAUGCUGAUAGAUGUGAUUAGCGGCAUUCUUUGAGAAAUGCAAGACACCCACGACGGUAUUUUUGUAUCCCGUUCCCUGCUGCGGCCCAUAAUUAAGCAGCGACUUGAAAGCGUCUUUAUAAAUAGAUUGUUGGAUCUGUGAAUCAAAGUUAACCACUGUUGUGUCGAACUUUUCAUACUCUCGUUCCCAAGUUUUCCUUCUGUUAUCAUUCAAGUGAAGUAUAGCUCGGAUUGGAAAACGAAAUCGUUCGGUAGUUGAUUGAAGCAGAGGAUGAUGGAACAACUUUUUGAAUGUUAUCCUGUUUUUUUAAUUGAAGUAAAAAUAAAUGAAGUCAUUACUACUAUUAAGAAAAGAAAGAUAUUUAAAAAUUUCGUAAAUACUAAUAAACUAAAUCCUUACUUCCUGUUCUUGACCAUCUCGAUGAAAUGUGUUAGCUCUGAUUCUUCCGGGUUAUUUCUAGGACGGAGCAUGUCGCCAAUUAAACGGAUGAAUUCUUCUCGGAAUGUCACUGGCCAAUUUGGUAAAGAUUUUACCUUUGCUUCUCCACUUGUUAGAAAGAUACAUUUCGGAUCCAAGGAGCCACGAUCAUUGUCACGUCCGUACAAUUCUUGUAAAACAAACCUUGAGAAUAAAAAUAACAAUUAGAUGAUAUUCAUUACCUAUACAAUAAUCAUAAUCUAAUUAAGAUAUCAAAUUAGUGGUUGAAUCACUCACCUGGUUAUGUUCCGGCACUUAACACUGAGACGAUCGCCAUCCCAUAUAGAUUCCAGACCAUCUCUCUGUAGAAUAGAGUCUAAAGAUAACAUACCCUGCUGUGAAAUUAAAGCACAACAUCCACCGUUACUUCAUUUCAUGUAAACUAAAACUACUGAACAAUGGAGACUGGUGUUUGAACAUGAAGAACAAUAAACAACUAUAUGGACUUCUCAAAAAAAUAAAAAUAUAUGGCAACCACAGGAUGUGGUCAAUCAGAUAAAAAUAUUAAUAUAACUUUGACGAAAUGUAUAUAAUUCAUACUGAGUGAUCUCGCGCGCAGAGAGUUGAUUAAAUUUAUCACCCAAGAGGCAAGAGCCCCUUGUUCAUCAGUCAGCCUUUUAUACAUUAUUUCACCUCAUUUAUUAAUUAUAUUUUAAUGUUUUAAUUAAGUAAAUUUAGUAAAAAAUCAAUAAAAACUUUACUCUUUAAAUAUUCUUAUCUUCAUCAGGAAUGUUACUUGAGUUUCAAGCCCAUAUAAAUAGUUAUGAAAUUACUUUUUUGCCCCAAAUUAAAUCAUAAAAAAGUCCAUGAUUAUGGAAAUGGAUCCUCUCUGGAUCCUUAUGCUAGGGAUCCCUACAUCUCAGCCGUUCAUCUUAUAUUGUACGGCUAGUUUUCGUCAGUUACUAUUUGUGUUUAAUUUUAAAUAAUAAAAAUUAAAUAAUUUCUAACCGCACGAUACACGAUGAACCGUUGAGAUGCGAGGAUCCCUAGGAUUCCCACAUAAUGGAUCCAAAGAGGAUCCAUUUCCCAUGAUCAUCUCUCCCAAAAAUGCUUCUUUUAUGCUCGUGAAGAUAACUCAGAUCUCUCUCUCUCUCUCUCAUUGAUGAAUCAAUACAUAUUUUCUUAUGUGUCACUGUUGUUUAAUAUUUUCUCAUUUAGGCACAUUUAUAGAAUAUAAUUGAAGAAAGUUAAAUAAAAUACAUUAAUAAAUUAACUUCUUUAAUGGGGAACAUUGAAUAAAACACAUUAGAUAAUAAAAUAAAAAUAGAAUAUGAAUAUGAAUUAAAGUACACAUCUAUGGACUAUAAUCAAUAUGUAAUCUAACAAUAGAUUAUUUUAUUAAAUUGCAAUCUUUUUAAGUGCUAAAGUUCAAAAACCCCUUUUUUUCUCUUAUAAUGUGUAAUAACAAUGUUGAAUAUUUACGUACAAUUGCAUUAUUUAUUGUUAGAUAAAUAUUUACGUACAAUUGCAUUAAUUAUUCUUAAAGAGUAAUUACAUUUUAUCUCCUCAGAUUUGGAUGCAAUUAUAACCUUAUACAUGUUUAAAACAUUUCAACCCUAUAUAUUUUGUUAUUAUUUCAAGGGAUGUGCUAUCCACACAUCAUUUUUUACUUCUCACACACCUUUUAUUAAUUUAUGUCAUUUGAUCUUAUUCAAUUCAUCUAAUUCGACGGUCGAAAAUUAAAAAUGUAUGUUAGAAGUAAAAAAUGAUGUGUGGAUAUCACAUCUUUAUUUCAAUUGCAAGUCAUCAAUGGAUUAAACAUUGAUUGGGCCGAAAUGUAAAUUCCAGAUCCAGACAAGGCGACAAAGAUCUUUUUAAGUACGAUGGCUUCCUUGCGUCAACUACAGUUCACAUGAAAGGACGUUGAAGUCUCACAUCUCGAACAACAUAACAUUCUUUACAAAUCUUUACACGUAUUUAUAUUCUACGCUCCUUUUGACCACUGAGACUUGUUCUCCACGGAAUUGUACAUUCUAUAGAGCACUUUGGAUGGACUUGCAAUGCAAGUAGGGUAUCCACCGACGGUAUAAAUGUGGAGGAACAUAAAACAUUUUCUUUAACAAGAAACAGAUUGAAAAAACACACACAACAGAAACAGAUUAAGAGUUACAAAACUUACAAACGCUUUAAAUGCGGCCCUAUGAGAAGCCAUUUCAUAGAUACAGCAUCCUGGACGAAAUAUGUUUAGUACAAUACAUAUUGCAGUUAAAGAAGAACAAUAAUCAAUGACGAAAAAUUCGCACAUACUAGGUGCUUACCCAAUGACCAAAUAUCUGAUUUUGAACCAUAAGGUAUAUCAGCAAGAAGCUCAGGACAUAUAGCUAGGAGUUCCGACAACCUGGAUCAAGAGCUAAUGAUUCUUACUAUAUAUAGAUAACAUACUCACAUUUUAAAAAUUUUUUUAGUCGAGCAAUAGCGUUAGUAAGUUAGAUGUCAGAUUAGCCACUAAUAGGGUUCGAACUCACGUCAUCAUGUAAGAACACUACACAUUUCCACUACUGUGGUAAAUUUUUCUCUUUGAUCAACAAGAAUAACCAUGACUAAGACUUGUUCUCCUCUCCGCGAUUAAUGCUUGUUGCUUAAAAUAAUUGCCAUGAAUCCACAAUUGGAAGCCCAGCAAUAAAAAUCUCUUUGGUUGUAGUAGUGGGCACGAAAAUCUCAUCGCCGCCACUAAAUUUGUCGGUCAACUGUUACAUCUCAUCGAUCUACCACUGAAUUUCAUUAUAUUAAUCCAUGCUUAAUCUCAUCAAUUCUUGGCUGGACAAGCCGCUGUCAUUCGAGUUCAUAAUAGCAAUGAGAGAUCAAGAGGGUAGGGUGUUGUUGUUUGAAUUCGCAUACAGAAGGAGAAAGAAUGGAAAAAUUGAAAUUAGUUUAUUUUCAAUAUUGAAAUUAGUUUAUUUUCAAUUCAGGUCUUGUUUUUGGAACGUGCAAGUUGAUUUUUUGGAAUGGAGGAAGAAAGGUAGAUUGGAUUUCGACAUGUUUUAAUUGAAGCCCAAAUUAGAUACUGCAUAAAAACAGAACCAGGAAACGGACACUGCAUUGCAGUGUCUGAAGCAGGUAUAUUAAUUUACAAUAACAACAACAAAGCAUUUUCCCACUAAAUGGGAAAAAUGUUGGUAUAUUAAUUCAAUAUAAUAUAUUUUGAUAUAGAAAUUUAGAUACAUCAAUUCAUUUUAUUAUAUUUUCGAUACACUUAUGUAUUUACAUAUUUUUCUUAUGUGUCAAUGCAGUUUAAUAUUUUCUCAUUUAGGCACAUUUAUAAAACAUAAUUGAAGAAAGUUAAAUAAAAUUAAUAAAUUCAAAUGUGUAUAUUAAUAUGUUUAUACCAUAUUUAGGGUCUCGUAUUUAGACCUCGUAUAAAUACUCGAGGGACUUAAAUGUAAUUAUGUAAUAAAGGAAGGGGCAAAUAUGUAAUUAGGGGAGGAGCCCUUAUUCUAUAAAAGGGCCUCCUGACCCUCACAAACCCUAAGCCUCUCCUAUCUAGAGCAAAGCUUUCACACUCUCUCCCUCAUAAAUACUCUCAGAGGAAUACAAUCAGUGUGGACGUAGCCCAAACCUUGGGGUGAACCACGAUACAUUUUGUGUUAUUUACAUUUCAUGCAGAUUCACGGUCAGAUUUACGUUGUUCCAAGACCUCCGAUUUUGUGCAUCAACAUUUGGCGCCGUCUUUCAUUUUUUUCCAACCAUCGUAGAUCUGUAGAAACCCAAACCCAGAGCACAAACAUCUCAACGCUUUUAACAAGAUACCUCAUCCCAGCCAAUCAAAUGACUCCCCUCUUUCCUCUAUGUCACGGGAAACCUCACUAAAUGCGUGACAGAAGAGAGAGAGAGAGAGAGGUCAGGCGAAAAAGAGUGGUGGGUUUGGCCCAGAUGCAGGUUUCGAAUCUCUAUACAAGCUCCCAAGUUUUGAUUCAGUUGAUAACUUUCUGCAUAAAGUGGCUACAGUUAGGGGUAAACUAAGUUGAUGAUCAGCGGCCUGUUGAGGCUGCUGUUGCUGCCCUCGUUCUAGUCGUGCAGCACGAUUCUUGCGGCAGUGCCAAAAUUAUUCAGCAACUAGCUCACAACAGCCAGAACCCGAAUCCCACCUCAGGAUCCGACCUGGAAACCGGCAGAACCCCAACCUUCUCCGAAUUCUCCUUCGCCGGCCGAUCGAACCGCGACUCGAGCUCACUGACUUGGUCGUUCAGGCUCUGCAGGAACAGCUCACCCCGAGCCUCUUCUCCUUCGUCAAAUCAUCCCGUACGAAAGACGUUGGACUCAACAGCUCCAGCCGUCUCGGAGUGAGAACCCGACAGAGCAGAGAUAGCAGAGCCAUGGAAGCGUUGACGAAGAAUGAGCUGACAGUGGCGGUGGGGUUUGUUAUCUUCACAGUCGUGAUUUCUAGUGUCAGAGUCUGGACCGGUGAAAUCCACGGCAGAGUUGAUGUCUACGGCGACUCCGCCGUCGGACCCGAAGAUCAUGUUCUAGAAGGUGCUGAGUGGCAGAGACGAUGCCCGAGAGUGACAGGUGGGAUGCAUGCCUGGCGCGACCUAUCAGCAGCUUCCAUGAGCACUGCAGCCAUCUUGGGGGUGGUAGCUCAGGCGUUAAGUUCACUUAUAAUCACCCCAAUGGCUUUUCUAUCAUCGGCGGUGUCACUGCUGGAAUUUCGGGGUUCACUGGCCUCACCGGAUUUAUUGUUUACUUUUUUAUCAUGACCGUCACUUCAGUUGGAUUCAUUGCCAAGACGGAGUUUACAGUUCAUUCAUACUUUGAUAGCUGGAGCCAGAUUAGACUUAACGGCUUUCUGGGUGGGCUUUCGUCAUUCGUGCUUUUCUAGACAGUCGCAUAUGACAUUGUGCAUAUAUUCUGAGGGAUUAUCUGCUACCUCUCGAAUGUGGUGAGAACGUGCUCAAGCCAGGCCCUCAUACUUAAGAAAUCAGAGGUCCAGUGAAAAAAAAAAAGAAAAAAAAAAGCAAAAGUAAGAAAAAGAAAAAGACGGUUGACUAGAGAUAAUUGCGGGGAACUCGUGGACCAUGCAGAAAAGAAGAAAAGGAAAAGUAGAAAGGAAAAGAAAAAGUAAAAGCAAAAGCUCCUACAACCAUCUGUCAUACCCACCUUAUGCAGCAGUAUUUUUUUGAAUGAUGUAAUUUAUUUUUCUUAUCUUUUGGAGACAUCUGUAUAAACCCCAUUAGAGGGUAGUAAAAAAAAAAGCCCAAAAUAAAUGGGCUGGCAUGUUGUGGAGGGUGAAGGCCCAUAAGCCCAAAAUAGCACCAACCAAGUGACCAAAAGUACGCCUAGUACUCCACAAUUAUUCGGCAACCUGCCUCUAUUAUCAUCAACCAGGUGACCAAAAGUACGCCCAAUACUCUAAAAUUAUUCAGCAACCUGCCGCUAUUACCACCAACCAGGUGAUGAAAUGUACAACCCGUACUCCAAUAUCAUUUGGCAACUAGCCAUUCAUGCCACCAACCAGGUGAUGAAAUGUACAACCCGUACUCUCCUUCAUGCCACCAACCAGGUGAUUAAAAGUACGUCCAGUACUCCAAAUUAUACGUGAGCAUUACUCAUGUCAUUCAUACAUAAACAUUCAUGAGCAUCACUCAUGAAAAUCAUACAUAAACAUUCAUGACCAUCAUUCAUGUCAAACAUUCAUAAGCAUCACUCAUGUUAACAUUCAUGACCAUCACUCAUGACAACAUCCAUGAGCAUCACUCAUGUCAAUUAACAUAAACAUUCAUGAGCAUCACUCAUGUCAAACAGCUUCAAAAGCUUCAUUUACAGAGCUCUAGCUUCAAAAGCUUCAUUUACAAAAGCUCCAGCUUCGAAAGCUUCAUUUACAGAGCUCCAGCUCUAAAGCUUCACUUACAAAGCUUCAGUGCAGGGUAUACAAAUACCGCCUCCAAACAACUGCCACUUCGGCCCAUACAUGGAUUCAAUUUGAGUUUCCAGCUAAUAGACUCUAUUGACCGAAGACUUGGGAGCCUACAUUAUGUACCAUCUAUUGGGCCUUAACUAGGACUCAUGAAAAAUACUUGGGGGACUUAGCCCAUUUUUUAUGUAUUAAGGAGUGAGCUCUUAUUCUAUAAAAGGGACUCCCUCACUUUCAUUAGAGAGCACCCAUUAUUCAUGUACUGAGGAACGAUCCCUUAUUCUAUAAAAGGGACUCCCUCACCAUCAUUAGAGAGCAUCAACCCUAGCCCAUCAUUCAUGUAUUGAGGAGCGAGCCCUUAUUCUAUAAAAGGGACUCCCUCACCUUCAAACGCCGCAAGUCGAGCCAACCAAGGCAACAUAAGCCACGAGCCGAGCAGCCUCGCAGCGUGUGCUAUUUCUAGUUGAGCAUCAUUUCAGAUUGAGCACUGCCUCAUAUCGAGCAUCAGUUCAAGACAGCAUCUAGUUACUUCGGCCCACACAUGGACUAAAUUUCAAGUCUCCAACCAAAAGACUCUCUUGACUGAAGACGUGGGGGACUACUGUUUAUACCAUAUUUAGGGCCUCGUAUUUAGACCUCGUAUAAAUACUCGGGGGACUUAAAUGUAAUUAUGUAAUAAAGGAAGGGGAAAAUAUGUAAUUAGAGGAUGCGCCCUUAUUCAAUAAAAGGGCAUCCUCACCCUCACAAACCCUAAGCCUCUCCUAUCUAGAGCAAAGCUCUCACACUCUCUCCCUCACAAAUACUCUCAGAGAAAUACAAUCAGUGUGGACGUAGCCCAAACCUUGGGGUGAAUCACGAUACAUUUUGUGUUAUUUACAUUUCAUGCAGAUUCAUGGUCGGAUUUACGUUGUUCCAAGACAUCCGGUUUUGUGCAUUAACAUAAUAAAUUAAAAUAUUUAAUGGGGAACAUUGAAUAAAACACAUUAGAUAAUAAAAUAAAAAUAGAAUAUAAAUACGAAUUAAAGUACACAUCUAGGGAAUAUAAUCAAUAUUUAAUCUAACUCUGGAUUUUUUAUGACGACCCGUCCCUAAUUUUCCUAUGUAAUUUCUUCCCGCGUAUGUGUAUUGACGAUUAUGCCCUUAAUGGCAAUUGACGUGGACGUGCUUAUUUUAUUCCUUAAUUAUUUUCUCGCUCCGUAAUUAAAUUUCACGCGUUAUUUCGAGAUUACACGAUUUUAUCAGUGUAAGAAAUAUCUAUUUAGGAUGGGUUAUGAUUUCCUUUUACUGUAGGAAAUCCAAAAUAACCCUAUCUUGUCUUUUAUCCUAUCCAACCCGUGCACCCCAUUUCCCCUUUAUUACCACUCACCAAUCAACUCUCAUCACUCACCAACCAAUCCCAUCUCUCCCUCAUUUCUAUUCACCAAUCAAAAAUCAGAAAAGGAAAAGUAAAAGAUCUCUCUCUCUUUCCCGUAUGCUCUCCCUCUCUGCAAAUGCCUUGAAUGAACCCUAAACUUCCCAGAUCGCAAAAACUACACCAUUGUACUCCCCUCAUCUUCAUGAUCACAACCAUGUUCAUGAAACCCAGUUUGGACGAGUUUUGACUCGUUAACUCGGAAGGUCCGAACUUGGGCAAGUUGAGUUCAACAUUAUUUUGAACGAGUUAGGAUUUUUUGAAGCUUGGGAAGGCUUCUACACAACAUUCUAAGGGUCCUAGGCUUGUUUUAAAAGAAGGUCGACGUGAAAUGACCGAGUCUUGACGAGUUCACUUUUGGCCAGAACUUUCGAGGCAUUUUUCGACAACCUCUGUCCACUUUUUGGACCCCAAAUAGGUAUAACGCCAUUCUUCAUUUCAUAAGCUUCAAAUCCAUAUAAAGUGGGCUAAAAAUGGAUGAGAAAUGAAGAAGAUAUGUUGAUUUGAAAAUUUUCCAUAAACUAGCGAAAAUUGAGUUGUAGACGGCGGCUCGCCGGAGAAGGAGACAGAAUAUUCUGUCAGAGUUGACGGAAUAUUCCUAACGGCGUCAGGUAACGCCGUUAACUUCCGUUAGCUUUUAACGGAAUAUUCCGUGGAAUAUUCCAAACGGCGUCAGUCACACUGACGGCACGUGCCAGUGCGUGGGGGCGUGUCUGGGCUGUGCCAUAGCCGGCGAGUGGGGGCGCGUGCAUGGAAGAAAAUAUCGAUAAUAUCGGCGAUAUAAUCGGUUUUUCCCUAAACCGAUAUUUUAAGUGGUAUCCAAGGGGUUUUCGUCAAAAUUUCGCGAUAAUAUCGAUAAUAUUGCGAUAUUAUUGAUAUUAUCACGAAAUUUCAGAACUGUGCAAGUCGGAGACGAACGCCGGAGCUUCUACAGCUCCAGCCGACUGUAAAAGACCUCCUUCAUCAGAACCUUGAAGGGGAACUGCGGAUCGGCGGCGACUCGGGAUCUCCACCCAUUAAGAAACGUACCCAGAACUCCGAAUCCCGAAAUCGACGACGACGAGAGACAUUGAAAGGGUGGUGGUGUGGAGCACCCGAGCCGGUGAGAACACCAGAUCUCAAUGCACCUUCUCGAAAUACCGCAAUAAAACGCGGUUUGAAAACAGCUGCAUGCCGGAUCUGAAAGAUGAAGGAGGAUGAUCGCCGCUGGGGGUGGGUAGGAGGACAUGGCCAGAUCGGGAAAGGACGCAGGGGGAAAAGAAAAAACACAGGAGAAAGCAAAAAGAAAAACUGAAGAAGAAGAGAAAGAAGAAAAGACAGAGGAACGACGACAUGGGUUUUGAUAGACUCACCCACUACACUUGAUCCUCCUGAGCCCAGCGUCAUAGAUGAUGAUCAGUUGGGUGGGUGGGUGGGGGUGGUUUCUCAGGUGGGGGUACCGAGAUCUAGGGGAAGGGAGAGAUAACGGAGGAGGGCGGAGGGGGUCGGACAUGCGGAGAGUGAGCACUCGAUCCUCCCAAGCCCAGCGUCAUAGAUGACGAUCAGUUGGGUGGGUGGGUGGGGGUGGUUUCUUAGGUGGGGGUGCCGAGAUCUAGAGGAAUGGAGGGAUAACGGAGGAGGGCAGAGAGGGUCGGACAUGCGGAGAGUGAGGAAUUUGAGAGAAUAUGGAUGGAGAGAGAGAGAGGCGACUAAAAGGCAAAGUGGGAAUAAAAGGGAAAGAGUCUGACGGCAAUAGGGAUUUUGAUAGGUUAUGAAGAAAGAUGAUGGGUUGGGAUUUUUUGCAUUUUUGGGAAUUAAGUGGGACUCUUUCUUUGCAAUUUUCUUAAUGCCCAUUUUGCAUUUUGAAAAUAAAAUAAAAUAAAAUAUUGUUUUCAAUCACAAUUUUACAUAAUUUAAGAGCAUCUUCAAUAUAAAUUUUAAAUAAAACCCCCACAAACAUAUAAUUCUUAAAUAAAAAAAUAAAGGGUAAUAAGUCACUCAUGUAUCUUACCAUGCAAUGUAUAAAGUGUAAAAUAUUGUACUAAUUCAUUAUAUAUAAAUGAUUAUGGUGUGUUUAGACUUCUUUCAUUAAUUACUACAUAUUUUCUACACUCACAAUGUUUGUCAGCUCGCUAUAUAAUCAACUUGAUAAUGUUAAAUCCAUCAUGCAAUGCAUUUCCUUCCAAUUUUUUGUGAUAAACUAAUAGAUAAUUGACUAAAUAAACAUCCUGCAAAGUUUCAAUAAAAAUUUCCAAGUUUUUCUUACAAUUUCCGUGGUUUCCAUGUAAUUUUUAUCGAUAUCGAUAUUAUCCCGAUAUUUCCAUCGAUAUUUCCGUGUUUUCGGACUACCGAUAUUUCUGAUAUUACCGAUAUUUUCUUCCUUGGGCGCGUGAGCCAUCCAAAAAUUAUUUUAAAAUUAUGGGGAUGUUCGUGACGUCGAGUAGGUCACGAUGGUAUAUUUAAACCCUAGGUUUGAGCAAACUAUGGGGGUUUUAUUUAAGUUUAUGUAUAUGUGCUUUAAUUAAUUCGAUAUUAGUUAUUUCACAUAUAGGCGAAACUUAUCCCGAGGACUUACGAGGCCAAGCUAGGCUCGAGGAUUACGACCCAUCGACGUACUUGUGAGUGAGCAGUUUAUUUUUAUACCUAUACGUAUUUAUAGUUUCUAAAAUUACAUAGAUGCUUCACUUUACGUAUAUGUUGCCAAGUACUGGAUAAUUGUGAUAAAUGCUGCUAUAUGGUUGAGAUAUACUUGUCAUGACAUUCAUACAUAUAUGUAUACAUGCUCAUCCUGUUGCACCGGUGUUACUCGCCCCAGGGCCAGGGCCAGUCCUUCACGUGUAUGUUCAUAUCGCACUGUUCGCUCGUCUUGGAUCCAAGUUAGGUGCUAGUCCUGUCGGGUAGAUUUCAUUAGGCAAUCCGACUUGUAUGUGAUCGUGCUUCUGCACCAGCCUUCACGUGAUCGUAGUACUAGAGCGUAUUGAUUUCACCCAGUCCUGUUUGUGUCAGAUAUUGUCUACUCGAACUCGUGUGUCAGCUUAGAUGGAUGAGUACUUCAUUAUAUUGUUUAUCACAUGAUUAUACUACCGCAACAUUGAUUAUAUCAUGUUUUGGCAUACAUAUCAUCAUUUAUAUUUGGCUAGUAUUGUGGAUACAUACUUACUUACGAUGUACGUUCUCAUUAAAGGAAACUAUACUUGUUUUAUGGUGAGGGGUUAGUAUAUUCAAAACUAAAGGUUUUCGUAUAAGCUUUGCUUUGCUAACCCACUCAACUUUGUUUUUCGCCCCUCUAGGACCUAGAUAGCUGUUCCUUCGUGGCACUCGAGGAAUCUUGGUAGUUUAUGACUUUAGCUUCGGCUUUUGAUGUAUAAACUUAUCACCGUGUAAUAAGUGUACUUUAGUUGCUUGACUACUCUUCGGUAGUUGUUCUGUCUUUAAGCUCUGAAUAACUAUAGUGGGUCACUCCCACGAAUGUGCACUAUAUCACUAUCUUUUAUUUGAAUUAGUUCUAGUUCGAU